GGGCAGUCCCCAGCGCAGGAGCGCAUCCUACCAAGGGCCACAGCACACAAAAGCAAAAGACUCCCACCUGGUCUAGAAUAUCACGCUUCUGAAACUUGAAGCCCUUUUAUGUGAAGCUUGCUGAGCCUGUGGCCCUCGGAGUCUCCCCCUCCCCCAAUAAACGGUAAAUUCUACGCAGCGCAAUACAUUGGGGAUGAACAACGACGACGACCAAAUGUGAAUAAAGCCAGUUUCCAUUCAAGCCUUACAAGCAUCCUUGCUCCUAAGCCGGGCAUUGGAGACCCAGCAAGUUGGAGAGCAUUCUGAGCUGGAGGGCGGCCUUUGUGACCAAGACACCUGUCCCUCUUGGGUCCUGACUAAAGAGCGACGGCUGAAAUUAUUCUUCUAGAAGGAAAUCUGCACUCAACUCCUGCACUCAAAAACGACUAUCGAAGGGAUGCUGUGUGACCCGGGACCCGGGGCUUGGAGCACCCUGUUACCUGGUCUAGGUUCCACUAGGACUGCGUUGUCCUGCGUUCCCUCGAGCGGCUGGUAGAGGAGAAUCAGAAGCCAGACCUCUGGCCAAUUAUUUACCCCACUCCCCACCCUGGGCGCCCCUCGAAGUCGGAGAUGGAGAGGCGGGGGAUUAGCCUGGACUCCCGCGCCAGUGGGGAAGGAGGUGUGAGCAGAGAGAUUGGCAGCUCCGGAACGCCGGUCAGCAUCGGCGCCGCCCUCCCCCACCCGUCUGCUCCCCAAAGCCCGGGCGCUGUUAGUGGCUCUUUGACUUGGCAUGGGAAAGGGCUGGAUGGGCUGAAGGCAUUUGUGUACCUCGAAGCCACCAGAUAAAAUUGCGGACUCAUGCGGGGGGCGGAAGUCAACCAGUCCCCCAACCUCUCCACAGUUUGGGGCCUUUAAGGGACGGCUCAGGAAUAGUGAAUCCAAACCCUCUCCCCUCCCUCGCGCGCUCUCAGUCUGCACCCUACACCGCAGAAUGUCGCUGGGAACCCUAGGGACUUAACUGUGCCUCGUGUUCCUCAGGAACACUGGGUUUCGUGAUCUAGUCCCAUGCGUUUACCGAACCGGACUUUCCCAGGCUCACCCAGCCUAUUCCGCUUAUUUUUUCUACUGUACCCUCCUGGAGGAGACAAGACUCCUAAUCAGUGAACCAGUACUAGAAACUCUUAGGUGUUCUAUCCUAUGCGGCGCCUUUUAACUUCUUUGGGUAACUGUUUCAGGUAUGUGGUAAGGAUGUACACGGCUGCAUGCGCGCGCCCACACACACACACACACACACACACACACACA
This is a long non-coding RNA of Mesocricetus auratus (golden hamster), 1284 nucleotides long. RefSeq lists it as uncharacterized. NCBI's taxonomy places the organism in Eukaryota, Metazoa, Chordata, Mammalia, Rodentia, Cricetidae. The record is from RefSeq and is a predicted model, not a curated record. The transcript is spliced from 3 exons.